UACGGAGGAUGCGAGCGUUAUCCGGAUUUAUUGGGUUUAAAGGGUGCGUAGGCGGAGUGUCAAGUCAGCGGUAAAAUGUCCGGGCUCAACCCGGGCCGGCCGUUGAAACUGGGGAUCUAGAGUGUGCGAGAGGUAUGCGGAAUGCGUGGUGUAGCGGUGAAAUGCAUAGAUAUCGCGCAGAACCCCGAUUGCGAAGGCAGCCUGCCGGCCCCACACUGACGCUGAGGCACGAAAGCGUGGGUAUCGAACAGG
RNAcentral lists this ribosomal RNA (252 nucleotides) under uncultured Bacteroidales bacterium. RNAcentral describes it as "partial 16S ribosomal RNA". It matches the Rfam family "Bacterial small subunit ribosomal RNA", at positions 524 to 776 of the family's 1533-position model. The record is from RNAcentral. Lineage: Bacteria; Pseudomonadati; Bacteroidota; Bacteroidia; Bacteroidales.